This 320-nucleotide ribosomal RNA is filed under the name uncultured Prevotella sp. Its description in RNAcentral is "bacterial SSU rRNA". It matches the Rfam family "Bacterial small subunit ribosomal RNA", at positions 28 to 339 of the family's 1533-position model. The record is from RNAcentral. Lineage: Bacteria; Pseudomonadati; Bacteroidota; Bacteroidia; Bacteroidales; Prevotellaceae.
GAUGAACGCUAGCUACAGGCUUAACACAUGCAAGUCGAGGGGUAACAUUGGCGGAGCUUGCUCAGCCAGAUGACGACCGGCGCACGGGUGAGUAACGCGUAUCCAACCUGCCCAUGGCUAGGGAAUAGCCCGUUGAAAAGCGGAUUAAUGCCCUAUGGCGUCCUUUGCAGACAUCUAACGAGGACAAAAGGUUUACCGGCCAUGGAUGGAGAUGCGUCCGAUUAGGUAGUUGGCGGGGUAACGGCCCACCAAGCCCUCGAUCGGUAGGGGUUCUGAGAGGAAGGUCCCCCACAUUGGAACUGAGACACGGUCCAAACUCC